GGGGGAAGGAUCAUUA
RNAcentral lists this ribosomal RNA (16 nucleotides) under Pleurotus pulmonarius. RNAcentral describes it as "partial 18S ribosomal RNA". Lineage: Eukaryota; Fungi; Basidiomycota; Agaricomycetes; Agaricales; Pleurotaceae. The record is from RNAcentral.